GACGAACGCUGGCGGCGUGCCUAAUACAUGCAAGUAGAACGCUGAAGAGAGGAGCUUGCUCUUCUUGGAUGAGUUGCGAACGGGUGAGUAACGCGUAGGUAACCUGCCUUGUAGCGGGGGAUAACUAUUGGAAACGAUAGCUAAUACCGCAUAACAAUGGAUGACACAUGUCAUUUAUUUGAAAGGGGCAAUUGCUCCACUACAAGAUGGACCUGCGUUGUAUUAGCUAGUAGGUGAGGUAAUGGCUCACCUAGGCGACGAUACAUAGCCGACCUGAGAGGGUGAUCGGCCACACUGGGACUGAGACACGGCCCAGACUCCUACGGGAGGCAGCAGUAGGGAAUCUUCGGCAAUGGGGGCAACCCUGACCGAGCAACGCCGCGUGAGUGAAGAAGGUUUUCGGAUCGUAAAGCUCUGCUGUAAGUCAAGAACGGGUGUGAGAGUGGAAAGUUCACACUGUGACGGUAGCUUACCAGAAAGAGACGGCUAACUACGUG
This 497-nucleotide ribosomal RNA is filed under the name uncultured bacterium. RNAcentral's name for it is "partial 16S ribosomal RNA". It matches the Rfam family "Bacterial small subunit ribosomal RNA", at positions 28 to 507 of the family's 1533-position model. The record is from RNAcentral.